GACGAACGCUGGCGGCGUGCCUAAUACAUGCAAGUCGAACGCUGAAGGAGGAGCUUGCUUCUCUGGAUGAGUUGCGAACGGGUGAGUAACGCGUAGGUAACCUGCCUGGUAGCGGGGGAUAACUAUUGGAAACGAUAGCUAAUACCGCAUAAUAGUAGAUGUUGCAUGACAUUUGCUUAAAAGGUGCAAUUGCAUCACUACCAGAUGGACCUGCGUUGUAUUAGCUAGUUGGUGGGGUAACGGCUCACCAAGGCGACGAUACAUAGCCGACCUGCGAGGGUGGUCGGCCCAAAUGGGACUGAGGCACGGCCCAGACUCCUAAGGGAGGCAGCAGUAGGGAAUCUUCGGCAAUGGACGGAAGUCUGACCGAGCAACGCCGCGGGAGUGAAGAAGGUUUUCGGAUCGGAAAGAUCUGUUGUAAGAGAAGAACGAGUGUGAGAGUGGAAAGUUCACACUGUGACGGUAUCUUACCAGAAAGGGACGGCUAACUACGUG
Molecule: ribosomal RNA, 495 nt
Filed under: uncultured bacterium
Lineage: Bacteria
Description: partial 16S ribosomal RNA
Rfam family: Bacterial small subunit ribosomal RNA
Source: RNAcentral